Long non-coding RNA from Macaca fascicularis (crab-eating macaque), 1643 nucleotides. The record is from Ensembl. Lineage: Eukaryota; Metazoa; Chordata; Mammalia; Primates; Cercopithecidae.
AAAAAAAAAACGAGCGUUCGCUGUGGGAAAGGAAAAGAAAGGGUUAGGGGAGUCUGAGCAGGCAGACACACUACAGCAUUCACACGCAGAAGAAAGCAGGGUUCUCCUUCCCGAGCUUGGAUGAGGGCAGGCGAGGAAGCAAAAUACAUUGAAUUCAACUGCAUCCAGUAUCUGAAAGGAGUCUCCCCCGCCCCCCUGUGGAUUCCGAUGCAGGUCAUGCAACUUGCAGGCAAGAUGGGGGAAGGGGUAUGCCGGUGUCACCGGCGCAACCACAGACAGGCCGGGCGCCUUCGGGUGGCACUGUCGCUUGGAGUAAAAACUUGGACCAAAAAAAAAGGAAGAAAAGAACAUGCCUAUAAAAGGCAGUUUUCCCGACUUCCCGUCACAUUCCACCUUCCCUUGGCCUCAGGGAGAUUUUUACCUCUGUCGCCAUUAUGGCCUUGUCCCCAGACUGGCAUUUUGCCCUCCCACCAGCAGGAGGGGACAGAGUGUGAAGACCUCCUUGGACUCUCAAACCACUUGCUACUGGCCCUAGGCCAAUCAUUGGUGUCCUUAGGCCACUGGGAAUUUCCCUGUCACUUCAAGUGCCAUUCUGGAAUUGGCUUUAGAAUAUCUGAGAGUCAGGGAAACUGAGGUGUAGUCAGAUACUCACGCUUGGCCUCUUUUGGGAGGUGGCAGGUGGCAGCAGAGAAACACAGCCUCUCUCAGACCACUGCUGGGCAGGGAACGCCAAGUGGAUUCAGCCCAGCAUCAGUGCUCCAGCCUGGAACUGAAGUGGUUGUGUCCAAAACAUGCCCAGCCCACUUUUUUGAGAGAGAGAGAGGAUUUUUAACAUGUCAACCAGAGAAGAUGAGACAUCCGUAAGUCAGAACAACAACAACGAACCUUUAAAAACCCCUCUGGAUUUGGUAAAAAUGCGGGUUCUGGUGCAAGGGGCCCUGAUGGGCAAAACGUCCUUCAUCCUGACAGUAAAAUGGGAUUAAGAUGGGGUGCUACACUUAUGCUCGCACUCUGGGCCUGAGCAGGAAGCGGCAGCUGAAAAAGAGGGAAGCUCUUUGGAAAGCAGGUGACGCGUGAACACAUAGAGGGGACAACGCACAUGGAGGCCUACUGGAGGGUAGAAGGUGGGAGGAGGGAGAGGAUCAGGAAAAAUAACUCAUGGAUACCAGGCUUAAUACCUGGGUGAUGAAAUAAUCUGUACCACAAACCCCAUGACACAUGUCUCCCUAUAUAGCAAAGCUGCACAUCCUGCACGUGUACCCCUGAACUUAACGGUUAAAAAAAAAAAAAAAGCAAGUGAUGGACUAGGUGUGGGGAAGAGCAGAAUUUCAUUUCUAACCACAGGCAAGUGACUUAAGCUUUCUGGGACUCAGCUUUCCCAUCUGUAAGGGAAUUAAGAUCAGAUCCUCAAAACCUAAAGUGUGCUUUCUGUCUAGCAGCAUCCAUGUCACCUGGAAGCUUACAAGAAAUGCAGCCUCUGAGAACUCACCACAGACCUCCUAAACCAGAAUGUCCAUUAGAACAAGCUCCCAGGUGAUUCAUAAGCACAUUGCAGCCCCGUAGUCGUCCCUCCCAGCUUGAAGAUUCUCUGAUUCUACAUGGAUCUGGGCCAAAGGGACUGUUGAGGAAAAAAAAAAAAAAAA